UUUUAUUUAUACAGGGUGAAAUUUUGAACUGGAAUAAACUCAGUAUUGAGCCUAUUUAUUUGUUGAAAAAAUAAAGGAUUACCGGUUCUUUCAUUUUCAGUUUGGCCUUAGAACAUUGAAAGGCUAGAAUUAGUAAACAACAACUUUGUUUGAGUCCAACAUGUGCACAGGGGCAAGAGGGGUGUGUUGUUUACAAACAUAUUUGCCGAUUCUCUGUUGUCAAGUCGACGCGAAUUUCCAACGAAGGAAAUUUUUUGCUAUAUUUUAACAACCAUUAUAACGUUAAUUUAACUUACUUGUGUUAUAUUUUAUAGGAAAAUUUAAAUUAAAAAAAUAUAAAUACUACAAUUAACCUAUUUAAGAAUAAAUAUAAUAUCCUUAGGCAAAAAAAAAAACAAAAUUAUUAACAUUCUUAUCCCUAAAACCGUUUCUAAAAAAUUUGAAGCGACAACACCGGAACUUAAGCGCCUGAGCCAUACGCAUAGUGUCAUCUGUCAAACGGCUUUUUGUUUAUGUUCGGGAUUCGUGUAUUUUCUUUAAUUUUUUGGUUUCAAAAGGAAAAAGGCCCCAUUUUAGUGUUUUUUUAAAUUGCUAGGAUGGCAAAAACUUGUGUCGUUUGUGCCGCAUCAUGAUAAAAAGGUGAUUCAAGCCGAUCUUUUCACAAGAUUUCUGAUGCACUGGUUAAAAACACAGCAGCCGAUAAUUCAGUUAAUUUACCAAGUGAUUUACCCUUCAAAGCUGCAAGGGUAGUUUUCCUGAAGAGUGCAAAAACUUCUUUAGCUUCCAAAAUGAUAUAAAGUACAAACAGUGAAGCUAAUAUAGACAAAUCUGAUCAUUCAUCAUCAACAAUAACUGCAUCUGAGAUUAAUAGUUACUGUGGGGUCUAGGUCAACAAUUACUAUUUCCCAUCCAAUCCGUUUUUGUUUAACUGCUACACAUUCCCUGACUCUGCCAAGGAAAAGGUAAAAAUACACUCAAAAUAGACAUCAUUAUAGCACAUUUAAAAAUUAUUGUUCAAUUCUUUCUCUAAGUACAAAUAAGAC
Anthonomus grandis grandis is the source of this 1043-nucleotide long non-coding RNA. RefSeq lists it as uncharacterized. The transcript is spliced from 3 exons. Lineage: Eukaryota; Metazoa; Arthropoda; Insecta; Coleoptera; Curculionidae. The record is from RefSeq and is a predicted model, not a curated record.